This 721-nucleotide ribosomal RNA is filed under the name uncultured bacterium. RNAcentral's name for it is "bacterial SSU rRNA". It matches the Rfam family "Bacterial small subunit ribosomal RNA", at positions 136 to 871 of the family's 1533-position model. The record is from RNAcentral.
CUCUGGGAUAGCUCCGGGAAACCGGGAUUAAUACCAGAUACAACCACUUUAGACAUCUGUUGUGGUGGAAAGAAUUUUGGCUAGGGAUGGACUCGCGGCCUAUCAGCUUGUUGGUGAGGUAACGGCCCAUCAAGGCGACGACGGGUAGCCGGCCUGAGAGGGCGACCGGCCACACUGGGACUGAGACACGGCCCAGACUCCUACGGGAGGCAGCAGUGGGGAAUAUUGCGCAAUGGGCGAAAGCCUGACGCAGCGACGCCGCGUGGGGGAUGAAGGCCUUCGGGUUGUAAACCCCUUUCAGCAGGGACGAAGCGAAAGUGACGGUACCUGCAGAAGAAGCGCCGGCUAACUACGUGCCAGCAGCCGCGGUAACACGUAGGGCGCAAGCGUUGUCCGGAAUUAUUGGGCGUAAAGAGCUCGUAGGCGGUCUGUUGCGUCCGCUGUGAAAACUCGGGGCUUAACCCCGAGCUUGCAGUGGAUACGGGCAGACUAGAGGUAGGUAGGGGAGAAUGGAAUUCCCGGUGUAGCGGUGAAAUGCGCAGAUAUCGGGAGGAACACCGGUGGCGAAGGCGGAUCUCUGGGCCUUACCUGACGCUGAGGAGCGAAAGCGUGGGGAGCGAACAGGAUUAGAUACCCUGGUAGUCCACGCCGUAAACGUUGGGCGCUAGGUGUGGGAUCCUUCCACGGAUUCCGUGCCGCAGCUAACGCAUUAAGCAGCCCG